Molecule: transfer RNA, 95 nt
Filed under: Fusarium fujikuroi
Lineage: Eukaryota; Fungi; Ascomycota; Sordariomycetes; Hypocreales; Nectriaceae
Also listed under: 1 other name
Description: tRNA-Ile for anticodon AAU
Rfam family: tRNA
About the family: Transfer RNA (tRNA) molecules are approximately 80 nucleotides in length.
Source: RNAcentral
GCUUCCAUAGCUCAGUUGGUUAGAGCGUCGUACUAAUACUUCACAUCGAGUAUCCGGUAAUGCGAAGGUCUCAGGUUCAAGCCCUGGUGGGAGCA